This 67-nucleotide transfer RNA is filed under the name marine eukaryotic metagenome. It matches the Rfam family "tRNA". From Rfam's summary of the family: Transfer RNA (tRNA) molecules are approximately 80 nucleotides in length. Their secondary structure includes four short double-helical elements and three loops (D, anti-codon, and T loops). The record is from RNAcentral.
CCGGUAGCUCAGUUUGGUAGAGCACCUGACUUUUAAUCAGGGUGUCCUGGGUUCGAGUCCCAGUCGG